GAUGAAGAACGCAGCGAAAUGCGAUAAGUAAUGUGAAUUGCAGAAUUCAGUGAAUCAUCGAAUCUUUGAACGCACCUUGCACUCCUUGGUAUUCCGAGGAGUACGCCUGUUCGAGUGUUAUGAAGCUCUCAAAACGCAAUUGGCUUAAAACCUGAUUGUUGUUUUGGAUUUGAACUUUGCCGUGUUAUAACGGCUGGUUUUAAAAGUAUUAGCUGGUACUAGAACGAAUUGGUUCUACUCAACGUGAUAAUUAUCUGAUCGUUGAGGACAUUCCUUUCACGAGGAAUGGCCAUAGUAAAUUCAAUGGACUGCUUCUAAUCUGGCUUUAAUUCUUUAUUGGAUUAACCACUUUUCAAAUCUGACCUCGAAUCAGGUGGGACUACCCGCUGAACUUAAGCAUAUCAAUAAGCGGCGGA
RNAcentral lists this unclassified non-coding RNA (416 nucleotides) under soil metagenome. RNAcentral's name for it is "partial contains 5.8S ribosomal RNA, internal transcribed spacer 2, and large subunit ribosomal RNA". The stretch from base 1 to 120 matches the Rfam family "5.8S ribosomal RNA", at positions 35 to 154 of the family's 154-position model. The record is from RNAcentral.